UAUCAUUCUAUGAAGAGAAUAGUAACAUAAGUUUAGGUAAAAGAGAGUCAGCGGCUGGUGGAAGUUGAUACCCACACUUUUGUGAAUCCAUCUUGGAGAUUUACUGCGAUGAGUAGUACGGAAAAUCCGUUAUUUUAAUGAGUGGAUUAUAUUUUUAUAUAAUCAAUGAGGGUGGUAACGCGAGCCAAUCGUCCCUAAG
RNAcentral lists this non-coding RNA (199 nucleotides) under Clostridium kluyveri. RNAcentral describes it as "T-box sequence". It matches the Rfam family "T-box leader". From Rfam's summary of the family: Uncharged tRNA acts as the effector for transcription antitermination of genes in the T-box leader family. T-boxes are found upstream of many aminoacyl-tRNA synthetase genes and some amino acid biosynthetic genes usually in Gram-positive bacteria. Lineage: Bacteria; Bacillati; Bacillota; Clostridia; Eubacteriales; Clostridiaceae. The record is from RNAcentral.